CUGCACCUGACGGAUGCAAUUAUUAAAGGUUAAACAAUGCUGACAAAAACAACAACUGAUUGAUACUAAGGUGACUUCCAUAUUGUUUUCCUUUCUAGCCCCUCUUACGUUGACCUCUCACUCUCACCUAUGUGUCUCUAACCCUGAAAACCUUGUUAGCGCUUUAGCUGUCAACACAUUUCCUUCCUAUGCUCUCACGUUCUCACUGGCGCAGGGAACCAGAGGACACAAAGCUUGCUCUGAGCGAAACGAGGGGCCGAGUUGCUACGCUGAGACACAUUCCAGGUUUGGUGUGCAUAGAACGGCCAUUGUUCUGCCAUGAAUACUUCAGAUACGCUGGAGGAGAAGGCCUGCACAGAAGGACCAUGAGGAUGGGAUGGGGCUGGUGGGCUCUGCAGCGGGUGAGAAAGGGGGAAUGGCCGGGAGUGGGGGGCACCGCGCUGGGUUUCUUUGCAACAUGCAAAGGCAAAGCCCUGUUCUCCGUGGAUGCCGUCCACACCCACUACUGCAUGCAUGCAGAUUGGCAUCGCAACAGAACAGGCGUAAAGGCCUUCCCACGGAAGACACGCAGCACUCCGAGGACCCGGACAUCUAUAGGGGUCACCCCUCCCACCAGGAAGCAACUCCAUUCUGCAGCAAACGUGGAAUCUAUUCUACACAAUGUAUUAAUAAUCCUAAUAUUGUUCUGUAGCAGUAAAAGUUGUGAUUUAUUUUUGUCUAUAUUCAGUAGAUCUAAAAAAUCUGUAUUGAUAGACGUUAGCUUGUGCAAGUAACCAACCAUGAUGUUUCACUUGCUCCUACCAUAAGUGAUGAGUUUGCCCAUGGGCUUCAGCAGGUUGUAGGCCUUGUGGGUGUCUGAUCCUCCAAGAGGGUCCAGUAUAAUGUCCAGCCCUGUAGCAGUAGAGAGAAGAAGGGGACAGCGUGAAUUCAAAGAGGACAAACUGCAGCAGCCCCCUCUGCACGCCAGAGAUCGGUGGAAGUAGCGAGUGUGGCCAAGUUGUGUCUUGUUUGCAUGAAGACGAACCCAUACGUGUGCCAAGCGGAGACGAGGGCCUUGUGACUGACUGAAGGGGACUCCUCAAAUUGGGCUACCCCUCCUCGCUCCGCUAAGCCCCGCUUCUAUUGAUUGUGGGAGGCUCACAGCAGGAUUGAGCCUUGACCACGGCGCGGAUGAAUUGACGGAGAGCCAAAGACAGAGAGAAAGAACAGAGGUGGAAGGAAGAGGAGCGUCCAACCCCUGGAACGAGGCCUUCGUCCCACUAAGAAUCAGCAAGAACUAAAAAGAAAGAGACACUGCACUUUGAUUCAGUAUCUGAGAACAGAAACGAUGAAUGAUGAGCAAGGAUGAUGAUGAGCAACCACUGCUUCGUGAACUGAGCUACACGUGUACAUGCAAAACAAUCUGCCUCGUCCCCAAUAACAGCAUUUCCACAUGGAAACCGGUGCAGAGGCUCCUCACCUUUGGGGCUGAUCUUGCGGACUUCUUCCACGUAGUCCUUGGUGCGAUAGUCGAUGGCGUGCGUGACGCCGCCCUCGCUGAUGGUCUCAUGCUUGCUGGAGGACGCCGUGCCGAACACAGUCACGUCCUUCACUGUCUUGCACAGCUGGGUCGCCGCUAUGCCCACGCCGCCUGGAGGAGGAGAGUUUCAGUGUCAAGAUCAAAAUUGGCUUCAGAGUCCGUACGCGCUUAAUCAAGCAGGCCCUGAUCGAGCAACGCUGACAUCGACGAGGGAACGGACAAGAAAGGAGAACCGCUGCUGUUGCUGCUGGAUGCGAGCGUUGUUACAACAUCCCCAUCUCUCCUUGUCCUCCGAGAGAAACCAAGUUUGUGUUGCCAAGGAAACCUUGGGCAAAUUACCGGCAAUGACUGAGCAAAAGAAGCCAUUUUGUUUCAUUGACUGCUCCGGCUUUGGACAUAAAGCAGUGUUUUUUGGGAAUCACUACUGGAAGAUGAAUAUUACCCUCGAUAUGUUUGUCUGACAGGCCCUGAACUAGAACAGUGAGAAAGCAUGUGUAUAUUUAGGACUCAUUUCUAGGGGAAGGACAAAUAAAUCCGCCAUUUUACUUGUUUCUCCCAGUGAAAUCAUGUGAGUCUACACCUGUUUACCUUUGACUUGUGGCUUAUCAGCGAGGCGCGGCUCAUGUGAAGUAGUAGGGCCGGUUAAAUCAGCGUUGCCAGUCUGACGGAUUUAUAAGCUGGUUUUGGUUAAUGACUCCGCCGUCAUAUACUCUGUCCUUUACUGCCAGGCAGUCGCAUAUUAAUAUUUAACCAGCAGCUGUGGGGAAACGACGUCUGCAGAGACCCGGCCUGCUUUCGCUUUUUACUUCAAGAAACAAAAGACUCCCCAAUCGAGCCAUAAAUCAUUAGGUUCAUGUGACGACCGUCUCAUUAAUGCCAAAACUGUUAAGUUGAAAUGCGUUUCCAGCCAAAGAGAUGAUGCAACCCAGCGAAGGUACCCGUCUCUGAAUCUCUCGUGAGCAAACUUCUGAUUUCUGAUCACAAGACCGCUGAGCGCUGCCAAGAAGCCUCCACUGCGUCCUACCUCGCUUCAAGAGAGAGGACCUCAGCCUUGAACACUCCUCAGCGCCUGCUAGAAUCUACUAAUCUUCACAAAUAUGCACAGGGAUUAAAAUAUCAGCCUUCCAUUAACCCGGUGCUUUAGUUCCCAUCGUUGAGUCCCUGAAAUAUAUUUUUCCCCCUCAACAUCGACGUCUUCACACUAGAAGUAGUCUUUUUAAAUGAAAUGUCAGAGCGUGAUUCACGGCCAUCCACAAACACUUAGCCUCCGUCUGGGGAAGACAGAGCAACUUAAGCAAAAUUCUUGCUGCUAAUUGCAUUUGUUCUGCUCAAAAUCCAAUUGAAUUGUUUACACUUGGCAAUUAGGAAACGUCAAUAAAGCGCCUGCCUAUCUCGUUUUUCCUUUCUCUCUCCGGAGCAACAGGAUACACAGUGGGGUUUUGUCUCGCCCUGAAUUCUUACAUACUGAAAUUCUGGCACAAAUUGCUUUUGGCUUCCAUGACACGACUGGAGUGAGGAGGAAUUUUCCCUAAAACACAGCGGAAUCCGGACUGACACUGAGGCCACUGUUAUUGCUCCACACCCAGAGUUCAACAGCAGGGGUGGGUGGGGACGUCAGGAUCGGUUUUCAUAAAAAGAUAGCGGGAUGGAUCCCCUGUCUUCCGCAUCACGACAUAUAUCUCAAUUUACUUUGGAGUGACAGCCUCGCUUUCAACUCGUAUUCGCGUCCGGAUAAACACUCUCGCACACGCGGGCCACGCUACGGUCUCAGGUGCGAGUCGGCAGACGGAUGCUCGCCAUAUGGCAGCUGCCGGGGACGACGUGGUCGUCUGAGCUGCUGUUUCGCUGUGAUUUUAUUUGCAUUUAUUUCCACGUUUCCUCAAGGACUCUGGUCUUUGCUAACCUACCAUUAGCUCGCGGUGGUAACAGCUGAGGAGGAGAGAAGCACAAAUGUGGAUCCACGCAUCCUUUCUCCCCAAACCCGCCGUGGCAGCGUUUCAACAACAAGCCCGAGCAAAGAAAUGAGCAGUUUAUUGCUACGCUCUGCAGCUCUGUAACAGUUAUGAGCCUUGUAAAAGGAGACGUGGUUAGUUGUUUGUGGACGUGGACUCUGAAAUAUUACUCAUUAUGUAACUUCGGUGUUUUUUUUUAU
Molecule: long non-coding RNA, 3671 nt
Organism: Betta splendens (Siamese fighting fish)
Lineage: Eukaryota; Metazoa; Chordata; Actinopteri; Anabantiformes; Osphronemidae
Exons: 4
Source: RefSeq, a predicted model, not a curated record